ACCGGUGCGCCUAACACAUGCAAGUCGAGCGGGAAUACUAAGGAAGCUUGCUUUUUUGGUAUGAGAGCGGCGAACGGGUGAGUAACACGUUGGAAUAUGCCCCGAAGUCAGGGAUAGCCAUGGGAAACUGUGGGUAAUACCGGAUAGUCUCUUUGGAGUAAAUAUUUAUAGCUUUGGGAAUAGCCUGCGAUCUAUCAGCUAGUUGGUGGGGUAAGAGCCUACCAAGGCGAUGACGGAUAACUGGUCUGAGAGGAUGAUCAGUCACAAUGGAACUGAGACACGGUCCAUACUCCUACGGGAGGCAGCAGUGAGGAAUCUUCCACAAUGGGCGGAAGCCUGAUGGAGCGACACCGCGUGAAGGAUGAAGGCCUAACGGUUGUAAACUUCUUUUCUGAAGGAGAAUGAUGAUAGUACUUUAGGAAUAAGGGACGGCUAAAUACGUGCCAGCAGCCGCGGUAAUACGUAUGUCUCGAGCGUUACCCGGAAUUACUGGGUGUAAAGAGUUCGUAGGUGGGAUAUUAAGUCAGGUAUGAAAGACCGGAGCUUAACUCUGAGUUUGUGCUUGAAACUGGUAUUCUAGAAUUGGGGAGAGGUAAGUAGAAUUUUAAGUGUAGGGGUGCAAUCCGUAGAUACUUAGAAGAAUACCGAAAGCGAAGGCAACUUACUGGAACCAUAUUGACGCUNAAGAACGAAAGCGUGGGGAGCGAAAAGGAUUAGAUACCCUUGUAGUCCACGCCCUAACGAUGAUAACUAAUGUUGCAUGAAAUGCAUGCUGAACCAACGCAUAGUAUCCCCUGAGGAUACGUCGCAGAUAAACUCAAGGAUAACGGGACCCCCCAG
This 840-nucleotide ribosomal RNA is filed under the name uncultured rumen bacterium. Its description in RNAcentral is "bacterial SSU rRNA". It matches the Rfam family "Bacterial small subunit ribosomal RNA", at positions 38 to 926 of the family's 1533-position model. The record is from RNAcentral.